CGAAAGUUACGCUAAUACCGCAUACGAUCUACGGAUGAAAGACGGGGAGUCGCAAGACCUCGCGCGAAUGGAGCGGCCGAUGUCAGAUUAGGUAGUUUGGUGGGGUAAAGGCUCACCAAGCCGACGAUCUGUAGCUGGUCUGAGAGGACGACCAGCCACACUGGGACUGAGACACGGCCCAGACUCCUACGGGAGGCAGCAGUGGGGAAUUUUGGACAAUGGGCGCAAGCCUGAUCCAGCCAUUCCGCGUGCAGGAUGAAGGCCUUCGGGUUGUAAACUGCUUUUGUACGGAACGAAACGGUUCUCUCUAAUACAGGGGGCUAAUGACGGUACCGUAAGAAUAAGCACCGGCUAACUACGUG
This 362-nucleotide ribosomal RNA is filed under the name uncultured bacterium. Its description in RNAcentral is "bacterial SSU rRNA". It matches the Rfam family "Bacterial small subunit ribosomal RNA", at positions 152 to 507 of the family's 1533-position model. The record is from RNAcentral.